GGGCCGGUAGCUCAAUUGGCAGAGCAAAUCCCUCUUAAGGAUUUGGUUCUGGGUUCAAGUCCCAGCCGGCUCACCA
Molecule: transfer RNA, 76 nt
Filed under: Candidatus Beckwithbacteria bacterium CG1_02_47_37
Lineage: Bacteria; Candidatus Beckwithiibacteriota
Also listed under: 4 other names
Description: tRNA-Lys
Rfam family: tRNA
About the family: Transfer RNA (tRNA) molecules are approximately 80 nucleotides in length. Their secondary structure includes four short double-helical elements and three loops (D, anti-codon, and T loops). Further hydrogen bonds mediate the characteristic L-shaped molecular structure. tRNAs have two regions of fundamental functional importance: the anti-codon, which is responsible for specific mRNA codon recognition, and the 3' end, to which the tRNAs corresponding amino acid is attached (by aminoacyl-tRNA synthetases). tRNAs cope with the degeneracy of the genetic code in two manners: having more than one tRNA (with a specific anti-codon) for a particular amino acid; and 'wobble' base-pairing, i.e. permitting non-standard base-pairing at the 3rd anti-codon position.
Source: RNAcentral